UUCCUGAUUUAUGUUCUGUGCAGGAAUGUUGCAGUUUGCCUAUUUCAGUAGCAGGAUGGUCAGAAAUGGGAAGGAAUCUUCUCGACUCUAAGCUGCAGCAUGGCUGUGGGACUGUUCUGCUGCCAUCACUUCAGCAAUGAGACUACAGAAGCCAUAGCAGAAUUAAUGAGUCCCCAGCCUCUGAGUGGAGUGUUGUAACUUGGAAAGGAAAAGACAAAGAAAAAAAAAGCAUGAUUAAGCAAGAGUUAAACUGAGCUGAGAAAACUGGGUGGAGUAUUUUCCAUAACUGUGUCUAACCAGUGUACUGAAAGGAGAAGCAGGUUGCAGAGGGAGAAGUGCCUUCAAAUUUUGUGAGUAUGCUUGUUUUCUUUUGAAUAUUUUUUUGGAGAAAGAAACAACAAUAUCAUAUUUACUAUUUACAAAAGGAGAGGACCUAUGGCACAUCAAGGCCGGACGGAGUAUCUUACUUCAGGCCAUAACCAGACUGUUGCUUCAAAGAAAGGUAAGCCCCAUCCCA
RNAcentral lists this long non-coding RNA (517 nucleotides) under Chrysemys picta bellii (western painted turtle). RNAcentral's name for it is "lncRNA (ENSCPBG00000011524.1)". The record is from RNAcentral. Lineage: Eukaryota; Metazoa; Chordata; Testudines; Emydidae.